ACCAGGCACUGGCGACUGGCUGAGACCACCUGCCCCAUCUUGAUUAUCUAUGGCCCUUGUCCUGCACCAGCGCGACAAGCAGGACUUGGGCUAGGCUGCAUAGAAAACACAGGAUACUACCUCAAAGCACAGGGGAGCAGAUCUUCUGCACUUGAAGCAGGGACAGAGGAUGGACUCAGCCAUUACUGUGAUCUCAGGCAGACGGCAAAAUCCACAGUUUGAUGACACCUGGGUCCCAGAUUCAUCAGGAAAGUAGAAUCAAGUUCAGGUAUGAAGAAGCCAUGGGGAAGGGUUCUGGAAGUGAAGGGUAAGCAAGAUGGAGCACAAGGGAGAUUCUGGCCAUCCAGUGGCUAUCUUUCCACUGGUUCACCCAGCGCUUUCCUUUCCCUAUGGAAAACUUCCCUUUGAGAGGAUUUUGAUAGUAUCAGGAUGAUGAGGAGGGAGUUUCUGAAACAUCUGUCCCUUCUGGCACUUAAGUUCUGGGGCUCUGGGCUGGUACCAAGUUAUUGGUGUGACCCAAACUCAACAGAUGAGCCGACCAGCAGAAAUUGGGGGGGCGAGGGCAGGGGACAGGAGGCAAAGAAUCUCUGUGGCGAGCCUGCGGGGAAGAUGCCUUUAGCUCUGGGGUCUGGGGCUGCUCUCCUGGGCUAGUUCCUCUGCCCUAAUGGUCAUAAUUAUGGUUUGGGGAGCAGGGUGGCCUUGCAGGAGCUGACCAUGGGGCCACCUGGCUUCCUGUUUCUUCUGGCCUUGGUGAUCUCAGAUGACUGGUGCCCAUGCAAUUAGACAAGGGCCUUGGUCUGUCCUCUGGGAGGAACUCACCGGCUUAUCAGCAGCCAAUGUCCUUGUGAGGCCACAAGUGGGGGGAGUGGGGAAAAGCAACCUUGGCUGGGGUCGGGCCUGAGGAGAGCUGGUUCCCUUGGGUGGGACUGAAGGGAGACAAGGGAGAAGGUGGCAGGCUGAAUCAGGUUUGGGCUUGUGGCUCCUCAGCAGCUGCUCACCACUUUCCAAGAGAGCGGCUGUGAAGAGGAGCCCACUUUGUUCCCAUCUGCCUCCACUGGUGACAGACGCGAAGGCCAGCCUGAGAGGCGGGUGGUACCUUGAGUGCAGCUAGGGAAACCUUGACUGCUACCUGGAGGCUGGUGAACAGAGAAAGGGUAUGCUGGGUACCUGACAGGGGCGCCACACAUGGAGAGCAUGGCCUUCUUGGCUCUGUCAAAUCCCCAGAGUGAUCUCACCCCCUUCACCUUACCCUGUCUCCCCGAAGGCUGUUUGCUCUGCUACUCCUUUUUUUUUUUUUGCCUUUCUGCUAAAUGUCUGGGUCUCUUUCUUGUCUUUAUACCAGAAACACAUGAUACUAGGUACAUACAGGCAUCUGCUUGGUGCUCCUGACCAUACAGGACUGCGACCACCCCUGCUCUGUAAAGGAAGACGCAGAGGCUCCUCCAGGAGCAACUUCUUAGUUCUUACGGGGAACCAGGAUUCAGUCCUUGAUCAGUCUGCCUCUAGCUUUUGCUUUUCGGCCAUGCUCCCUCACUAGAAAAUGACUGAGGGCAGAGCCAGGCAACAACAGGGGAAUCAG
Myodes glareolus (Bank vole) is the source of this 1579-nucleotide non-coding RNA. NCBI's taxonomy places the organism in Eukaryota, Metazoa, Chordata, Mammalia, Rodentia, Cricetidae. The record is from RefSeq and is a predicted model, not a curated record.